Molecule: long non-coding RNA, 971 nt
Organism: Podarcis muralis (Common wall lizard)
Lineage: Eukaryota; Metazoa; Chordata; Lepidosauria; Squamata; Lacertidae
Source: RefSeq, a predicted model, not a curated record
AGAGAGAGGACCGAGGAGGAGGGCAGCUGUGGCCGAGAGGGCAGUUUGGGCACACUGCAUUUUUCCCUAGGAAAAGAACUAUUUUGGUUUGCUUGUUGCUGCUGCUGCUGCUUGGUUUAUUUCUCCCCUCGUAAGAGAGAUGUCAACACAAAACACGGAGAGAUCCUGGAACCUUUGCUUCUGAUUGUCCAAACGCAAUUCUUGUUCUGGAAUACAAACCAAGAAUUGUGUCUGGACAUCUGUGGCCGAGUCUUCAACUUCAUCAUCAACUCGCUCGCGUCGGCCUUCCGAGACGCAGAACAGCAUCCGAACGAGCUCCUUCGGGUCUACGGCAAGCAAGAUAGGAGAGUCUUUUACUGAAGACUGCCUCCAAGUUUGAUGCAGCCAUUUCACAGAUGAGUCUUCCAGCUGCUAGAGCCACAAAACAGACAAGGCUUCAGUGCAAGAAGAAGUAAAACAUCUACCGAUACAGCCUCAACAGGGAAAUCCUGUCCAUGUGUAAAUCAAUGGGAUUUACUUCCAGGAAACUUCCACAGAUUUCUGCUUAGCACCCUGGUACUAACUCAUUCUGCCAUUUGUGCCACUUUCGAGGUCAGAUAAGGAGAUGGAGCGCAGCAUCGGAAGAAGAGGCUCACAAACGCAGAUCUCACAAAAAUCAAGCCUAAUUCAUUCGAAAAGGUUAAAUGCAAUUAAAGUGAAACACUGAAACAUUAUUUAAUUUUUUUAAAAAAAUAUACACCUGGGGUCUCUUAAUUCUUAUAUCACUAGCAUAGAUGAUGGGAGUUGUAGUCCAACAUCUGGGGAAUCAAGGCUGAGGAAGGCUGACCUGGAGGAUUGAGCCUGGGACCUUCUGCAUGCAUAGCAGGUGCUCUUCCACAAAGCUGUGUGUCCCUUAUGUACUCAGAGCAUAGCUGUCAACCUUCCCUUUUUUUGCAGGAAAUUCCCUUAUUUCAGUGCCAUUUCCCGCUGCU